UUAAAGAAGGCAAUUUCUGAGUAAGUAAGACUGUAAAUUUUAUUGUGCUCAGGCUGUAAGG
Molecule: transfer RNA, 61 nt
Filed under: Trichuris trichiura (human whipworm)
Lineage: Eukaryota; Metazoa; Nematoda; Enoplea; Trichinellida; Trichuridae
Description: tRNA-Tyr
Source: RNAcentral